RNAcentral lists this ribosomal RNA (82 nucleotides) under Sinocyclocheilus grahami. The record is from RNAcentral. Lineage: Eukaryota; Metazoa; Chordata; Actinopteri; Cypriniformes; Cyprinidae.
CCCUGCAGCCCAAGACUGGUUGCCCACUGAAGCUAAGUACCUGGAUGGGAGACCUCCUGGGAAAACUAGGUUGCUCCUGGAA